Anthonomus grandis grandis is the source of this 729-nucleotide long non-coding RNA. RefSeq lists it as uncharacterized. The record is from RefSeq and is a predicted model, not a curated record. The transcript is spliced from 3 exons. NCBI's taxonomy places the organism in Eukaryota, Metazoa, Arthropoda, Insecta, Coleoptera, Curculionidae.
GGCUUAAGAAUUAUGAGCAACACACGAAAACCAGCUGGAGAAAAGCUGCUACAUAUCCAAAUUGUGGAAAAAUUAAUAUUUACAAGGUUGAUCUACGUUGCAUUUAUCUUACAGAUAAAAGAGUCAAGGGAAUAAGAUCUACACGAAAUACAGAUUGUCCAGCAAAGCUUAAUAUUGUCAUUAAAAGGUAUAUAGCUAAAUCUAGAGCUAAAAAUGUAGACCAUCUUGUUGCUGAAUGGCCAGCUAUUGUAACAUUUAAGGCUACGCAUAAUCAUUGCAUUAUUAGUGCAGCAGUUUUAAAAUAUCGUGACAUGUCAGAUGAGACCAGGGCAAAACUUCAGAGCCUUUUUCGACAAGGUCAUAACCCUUCAUCGGCCUUGCAUUGUUUAAAAACAGAUUUGUUGCUGGAAAAUCCAGAAAAUUAUUAUGAAAUGGCAGCAGAUACUCAUUAUGUCCUGACAGUUUCUGUAGCACAUAAAUUGUUUGAAAAGGAGUUUUCAAAAGAGUAUGGAUGUUUUACAGUUUUUAGAUGACGUAAUUUGGACUGAUGAGGUAAAAUUUUCAAAAAAUGGUAUUUUUAACACACAUAAUCAAUCCCAUGCCAUGUUUGGAGUGAUUUAAAUCCUCAUGCUGUGAGAUCACAAAAUUAUGAAGAAGUGUGGCAGUUUAAUGUUUUUUGUGCUAUCAGAAAUAGUCGGAUCAUUAAAUUACACUUUUACGAAAAAAACU